GCCAGGUGUGGUGGCACAUACCUGUAAUCCCAGCUACUUGGGAGGCUGAGGCAGGAGAAUUGCUUGAACCCAGGAGGCAGAGGUUGCAGUGAGCCAAGAUGGCAUCACUGCACUCCAGCCUGGGCAACAAAGCAAGACUCUGUCUCAA
This is an unclassified non-coding RNA of Macaca fascicularis (crab-eating macaque), 148 nucleotides long. It matches the Rfam family "Metazoan signal recognition particle RNA". Rfam says of the family: The signal recognition particle (SRP) is a universally conserved ribonucleoprotein. NCBI's taxonomy places the organism in Eukaryota, Metazoa, Chordata, Mammalia, Primates, Cercopithecidae. The record is from Ensembl.